RNAcentral lists this long non-coding RNA (619 nucleotides) under Sorghum bicolor (sorghum). RNAcentral describes it as "long non-coding RNA (SBIC_LNC018427)". The record is from RNAcentral. Lineage: Eukaryota; Viridiplantae; Streptophyta; Magnoliopsida; Poales; Poaceae.
AGGCGUGGAUGUAUUGAUGGUGCUCAUGUCCUCAUCACUAUAUCUGAACAUAACAAAUCGAGCCUCCACUUGAGCCUUUUCAACUAUGAGGACCAUCGGGUGCGUCUAAAAUUGUUUCUUAGCCUAUGGUGCAUUAGGCGUAAACCGUGCACAUAUCUUCUACCAACACUGACACUGUCUCUAAACAAACCGAAGCAAGAUUCCAUAUGACAAACAUCAUCAAGGAGUUAUAUCAGGUGUGUCCUAAUUGAUUUCUGAGCAUAUCAUAUGUUCCAUGCAAACCGUGCAUCUAUCUUGCAUCAAGAUUAGCACUAUCUCCAAACAGACGAAACAGAGCUUUCACUUGAGCCCCUUGACCUAGGAGUACCAUCAGGUGCGUCCAAAAUGGUUUCUUAUCCUAUGGUGCAUAUCUUGCACCGAAACUAACGUUGUCUCUAAACGGACUGAAGUGAGAUUCCAUAUGACACAUGUCAUCUAGGAGUUCCAUCUGGUGUGUCCAAAUUGAUUUCUGAACAUAUGGUAUGUUCCAUGCAAAUCGUGCACCUAUCUUGCAUCAAGAUUAGGACUAUCUCUAAACAGACCAAACCGAGCCUCCACUUGAGCCUCUUCACCUAGGAGU